This 497-nucleotide ribosomal RNA is filed under the name uncultured bacterium. RNAcentral's name for it is "partial 16S ribosomal RNA". It matches the Rfam family "Bacterial small subunit ribosomal RNA", at positions 28 to 507 of the family's 1533-position model. The record is from RNAcentral.
GACGAACGCUGGCGGCGUGCCUAAUACAUGCAAGUCGAACGCAUCUUCCCUCCCCUUUGCUUGCUCUCAAUUGGGACGGGGGGGUGCGUAAGAGGUAGUAACCCGUGCUUUAACAAUGGGAUAGCGGCGGAAGACCCUAGCUAACAGCUGAUAAUACUUUAUACCAGUUUGUUCAACAGUGAAUAACGGUGUUGCGCGCACUUGUAUGUGGUUCCGCGGUGCAUUAGCUAGUUGGUAAGGUAACGGCUUACCAAGGCAACGAUGCAUAGCCGACCUGAGAGGGUGAUCGGCCACACUGGAACUGAGACACGGCCCAGACUCCUACGGGAGGCAGCAGUAGGGAAUCUUCGGCAAUGGGCGAAAGCCUGACCGAGCAACGCCGCGUGAGUGAAGAAGGUCUUCGGAUCGUAAAACUCUGUUGUUAGGGAAGAACAAAUGUGUAAGUAACUGUACGCCUCUUGACGGUAUCUAAUCAGAAAGCCACGGCUAACUACGUG